Molecule: ribosomal RNA, 671 nt
Filed under: uncultured Bacteroidota bacterium
Lineage: Bacteria; Pseudomonadati; Bacteroidota
Description: bacterial SSU rRNA
Rfam family: Bacterial small subunit ribosomal RNA
Source: RNAcentral
AGAGUUUGAUCAUGGCUCAGGAUGAACGCUAGCGGCAGGCCUAACACAUGCAAGUCGAGGGGUAACGGGGAUAGCUUGCUAUCCGCCGACGACCGGCGCACGGGUGCGGAACGCGUAUGAAACCUGCCCCUGUCAGGGGAAUAGCCUUUGGAAACGGAGAUUAAUGCCCCAUGGCACCUUUUCACCGCAUGGUGUAGAGGUUAAAGAUUUAUCGGACAGGGAUGGUCAUGCGUAUCAUUAGCUGGUUGGUAAGGUAACGGCUUACCAAGGCAACGAUGAUUAGGGGCCCUGAGAGGGGGAUCCCCCACACUGGUACUGAGACACGGACCAGACUCCUACGGGAGGCAGCAGUGAGGAAUAUUGGACAAUGGUCGGGAGACUGAUCCAGCCAUGCCGCGUGCAGGAUGACUGCCCUAUGGGUUGUAAACUGCUUUUAUAUGGGAAGAAACCUACUUACGUGUAAGUAGCUGACGGUACCAUAAGAAUAAGGACCGGCUAACUCCGUGCCAGCAGCCGCGGUAAUACGGAGGGUCCGAGCGUUAUCCGGAAUCAUUGGGUUUAAAGGGUCCGUAGCGGGCCUAUAAGUCAGAGGUGAAAGGCCACGGCUCAACCGUGGGACUGCCUUUGAUACUGUAGGUCUUGAGUCGUUGUGGAGUUGCCGGAACAUGUGG